GAAGACUACGACGUUGAUAGGCAGGGUGUGUAAGCGUUGUGAGGCGUUGAGCUAACCUGUACUAAUUGCCCGUGAGGCUUGACCAUAUAACACCCAAACA
RNAcentral lists this ribosomal RNA (100 nucleotides) under Pseudomonas sp. RNAcentral describes it as "partial 23S ribosomal RNA". The stretch from base 1 to 86 matches the Rfam family "Bacterial large subunit ribosomal RNA", at positions 2840 to 2925 of the family's 2925-position model. Lineage: Bacteria; Pseudomonadati; Pseudomonadota; Gammaproteobacteria; Pseudomonadales; Pseudomonadaceae. The record is from RNAcentral.